RNAcentral lists this unclassified non-coding RNA (258 nucleotides) under Hevea brasiliensis (rubber tree). The record is from RNAcentral. Lineage: Eukaryota; Viridiplantae; Streptophyta; Magnoliopsida; Malpighiales; Euphorbiaceae.
UUUUUUUUUUUUUUUUCCUUUCUUAAAUUUUAACUGAGCAGUUAUUUAUUUCCUUCUUUCUUUUCCUCUGGUGAAUGCAUCUGUAGAAUCUUAUUUCCACGCCAGAGAAUCUUAUGUUUUGAAUAUCUUCAAACAGAUGAUCAUGAUACUCACGAUGCUGUGAUCAAUUAAUAUUCCACCACAUGCACAAGCUCUUAUUUCAUAAAUGACAUGAGCUAAAAUGGUUAUUAUCACAGGCUCGAUGAAGAAGUUAGCAGG